RNAcentral lists this non-coding RNA (24 nucleotides) under Cricetulus griseus (Chinese hamster). Lineage: Eukaryota; Metazoa; Chordata; Mammalia; Rodentia; Cricetidae. The record is from RNAcentral.
GCUAAGUGCUGUAGGCCUGUUGUC